UGGCCUUGACAUACUAAGAACUUUCCAGAGAUGGAUUGGUGCCUUCGGGAACUUAGAUACAGGUGCUGCAUGGCUGUCGUCAGCUCGUGUCGUGAGAUGUUGGGUUAAGUCCCGCAACGAGCGCAACCCUUUUCCUAUUUGCCAGCGGGUUAAGCCGGGAACUUUAAGGAUACUGCCAGUGACAAACUGGAGGAAGGCGGGGACGACGUCAAGUCAUCACGGCCCUUACGGCCAGGGCUACACACGUGCUACAAUGGUCGGUACAAAGGGUUGCUACCUCGCGAGAGGAUGCUAAUCUCAAAAAGCCGAUCGUAGUCCGGAUCGCAGUCUGCAACUCGACUGCGUGAAGUCGGAAUCGCUAGUAAUCGCGGAUCAGAAUGCCGCGGUGAAUACGUUCCCGGGCCUUGUACACACCGCCCGUCACACCAUGGGAGUUUGUUGCACCAGAAGUAGGUAGUCUAACCGCAAGGAGGACGCUUACCACGGUGUGGCCGAUGACUGGGGUGAAGUCGUAACAAGGUAAGCGUAGAUGA
RNAcentral lists this ribosomal RNA (533 nucleotides) under uncultured bacterium. Its description in RNAcentral is "bacterial SSU rRNA". It matches the Rfam family "Bacterial small subunit ribosomal RNA", at positions 976 to 1509 of the family's 1533-position model. The record is from RNAcentral.